Molecule: ribosomal RNA, 269 nt
Filed under: unidentified soil organism R6-37
Description: partial 16S ribosomal RNA
Rfam family: Bacterial small subunit ribosomal RNA
Source: RNAcentral
GGUCGGUACAAACCGUCGCAAACCCGUGAGGGGGAGCUAAUCGGUAAAAGCCGACCUCAGUUNGGAUUGGAGUCCACAACUCGACUCCAUGAAGCUGGAAUCNCUAGUAAUCGCGGAUCAGAACGCCGCGGUGAAUACGUUCCCGGGCCUUGUACACACCGCCCGUCACAUCACGAAAGUGGGCUGUACUAGAAGCCGGUGGGCUAACCGCAAGGAAGCAGCCGUCCAAGGUAUAACUCAUGAUUGGGGUGAAGUCGUAACAAGGUACC